GACGAACGCUGGCGGCGCGCUUAACACAUGCAGGUCGAACGGAAAGGCCUGCUUUCCCUUGUGGAUUGCGGGUACUCGAGUGGCGAACGGGUGAGUAACACGUGAGUGAUCUGCCCCCAACUUGGGUAUAAGCCUGGGAAACUGGGUCUAAUUCCCGAUAGGACUGCAGGGUGGUGCCUGUGGUGGAACACGAUUUUCUAGUGGUUGGGGAUGAGCUCGCGGCCUAUCAGCUUGUUGGUGGGGUAAUGGCCUACCAAGGCGGCGACGGGUAGCCGGCCUGAGAGGGUGGACGGCCACAUUGGGACUGAGAUACGGCCCAGACUCCUACGGGAGGCAGCAGUGGGGAAUAUUGCACAAUGGGCGGAAGCCUGAUGCAGCGACGCCGCGUGGGGGAUGACGGCCUUCGGGUUGUAAACUCCUUUCGACCGCGAGGAAGCCACCUGGUUGGAAGGGUGGUGACGGUAGUGGUAGAAGAAGCACCGGCUAACUACGUG
RNAcentral lists this ribosomal RNA (494 nucleotides) under uncultured bacterium. Its description in RNAcentral is "partial 16S ribosomal RNA". It matches the Rfam family "Bacterial small subunit ribosomal RNA", at positions 28 to 507 of the family's 1533-position model. The record is from RNAcentral.